GGGGGGGUAGAGUGCAUGCUUAGCAUGCAUGAGGUCCUGGGUUCAAUCCCCAGUUCCUCCU
RNAcentral lists this transfer RNA (61 nucleotides) under Camelus bactrianus (Bactrian camel). It matches the Rfam family "tRNA". From Rfam's summary of the family: Transfer RNA (tRNA) molecules are approximately 80 nucleotides in length. Lineage: Eukaryota; Metazoa; Chordata; Mammalia; Artiodactyla; Camelidae. The record is from Rfam by way of RNAcentral. RNAcentral also lists the same sequence under 1 other name.